Long non-coding RNA from Metopolophium dirhodum (rose-grain aphid), 1945 nucleotides. RefSeq lists it as uncharacterized. NCBI's taxonomy places the organism in Eukaryota, Metazoa, Arthropoda, Insecta, Hemiptera, Aphididae. The record is from RefSeq and is a predicted model, not a curated record. The transcript is spliced from 3 exons.
UUCAAAUGUAAAUAAUAAUUAUUCGUUAAUAUUUUGUUAAUUUUUAUUUAAUUUAUUAAUUAUUUAAUUUUUUUACAUUUUUUUUACAUUUUUUUACCUUAUAUACAAUAUGUUUAUUAUUCACUAUCGUGUGCACUGUGCAGUUACAAAUUACAAAUUUAAACAGUUCACCUUAAAUUUUCGUCAAAUGUAUCUACAAAGAAUUAAAAUCAUCGCAAAUCCAAGUUAAACUUAAUAUGCCAUUUACAAGUUACAACAAUCACAUUCAAACCUUCAUAACUCAAAUCAUUAAGCAAGAUACAGUAACUGGUGUAUGCAUGUACCCAAGCCAUGUAGGAGAUUAUUCUGUUUGGAAAAACUUCUUCUGAAAAAACUGUUUCCACUAACAGUUCCAGAUGGCGGUUUACGAGUAAUGACCAAAAUAGGCAUCUAGCUUCAACUUCUGUGUUCACCCUUGAAAGAACGUCAUUAAGCUAUACCACAUAGAGUUGUAAAUACCGUUUCCGGAUAUAUGCCGGUGUAUUUAUUUAUAUAUAAUAAUAUUAUGUUAUUCUGUAAUCCGUGACAAGUGCCAUACUGUGCCACUGUGGUUAAGGCACAACUAAAUAAAUUGGGUGCCAUGAGUAGGGAUUUAAAUUCUGCCUUAUUAAUAUUAACACCUUAAUAAUAAUUAAUGACAUUAAAACGUUGCACCUACCUAUACUCAAGGACAAGGCCCUAAUAUUAUAUAUUAUAUAUAUAAAAAAUGAAAAAUAGAUUAUAAUUAUAAUAGAAUAUAUGUAGGUUCUAGAUGUCUCGUUCACAAAAAUCCACGCUGUUUCUGACACUUGAUAUACAAAAAAUUCCUAUAUUAUAAAACUAAAUUACAAAUUACAAAAUCUAAUAAAUAGAUAUUACAAAUAAAAUAUUGAAAAAACAAACAAACAAUUUUGUAUUUUUUGAAGUUAAUAUUUUUACUGUAAUUGAAUUCUUCUUUAGGGGAUUGAAAUUUUUCUUAUUAAAAGAUACAAUAAAAUAGAAUAAGAAACGGUUAAAAUGUAAUUUAAGAAACAAAUUUUCAUUUUCAAUGUGCUAAAAUAAAAUUUGCCUGGUUGGUUGAUUGAAUUUAUGUUUAAAUAUUUACCCGACUAAAAGAUUAAAUAUCAUAUCACAUCAGUACAUCACUGUCCAGCAAGUUUCAAACCAUAUUACUCUAUUGAUAAAUACCUGACCUUUGAUUACUAAACAUGGUUUGUUAGUUUAAAAUAAAUAAAAAAUUAAACUAAAUAGAUACUUGGUGUGUAGAUAAUUGGGACUAAUAUUAAUUAUUAUUUCUUUUUACUUAACUCCAUAUAAGAUGUAGAUGAUUUUUAUUUACUGUGUUUUUAAUGUGUCAACAAACUAAUUUUAUAUUAUUUAAGUCAAAUAUGAUGUAUAAAAACCAAAAAAUAGAAAUAGUGACUUCUUGUAUACUAUUUAUUAUUUAGAUUCUUAUAAUAAAUUAUUUUGUAUUCAUUUAAUUAAUUUUGUAUAAUUAUGAUAAGAAACAACUCGCAUUAGACUAAUGAUUCAAUUAAAUAAACUCGUCAGUGGUGGUCACGAACAAAUAAAUUAUGAUUCUUAUGAUAAAAUGAUUCACUGUACUGUCUGAACCAGUUCAUUUAUUUGAAAAAAACGAAUCAGUUAAUUAAAGACAACUUGUCACAUCUCUACAGUACUCAACAGUGUAUUCUUCACUUCAUACUUCUUAAGUUAUAUUUGUCUAUUUAAUGUAUAUUUGAAUGUAUUUUUUUUUUUGUUUCUAUUUAUUGAUAAACUUAGACGAAUAUUAUAUUUAUAUUUUAAAUUUCAGCUAUAUAAUUUUUUUUAGUACAUAUAUAAAAUCUUAGUUUUAUAAUUUACACAUUACUUAUGUUUGUAUCUUAUGUAACUAUGUACCUUAUACAUAAAAUAUAUAUAGAAUUUA